UUCCGUAGGGGAACCUGCGGAGGGAUCAUUACCGAGUUAUUACUCCAAACCCUUUGUGAACCUUACCUAUGUUCUGUUGUCUCGGCGGGGCGCCAGGCCUCUGGCCAAACCCCCGCCGGCAGCAUAAAACUCUUGCAUUUUAUAGCGGAUUACAUUUCUGAAUUAAACACAAAACAAAUCAAAACUUUCAACAACGGAUCUCUUGGUUCUGGCAUCGAUGAAGAACGCAGCGAAAUGCGAUAAGUAAUGUGAAUUGCAGAAUUCAGUGAAUCAUCGAAUCUUUGAACGCACAUUGCGCCCGGCAGUAAUCUGCCGGGCAUGCCUGUCCGAGCGUCAUUUCAACCCUCGAACCCCGGUUUUCUUUAUGGAUCCCGGGGAUCGGUGUUGGGGCACUACGGAGGUCUUCUGACCACCGUAGGCUUCGAAAUACAGUGGCGGUCCCGCCGCGGCGCCCUCUGCGUAGUAAUUUUCACCUCGCAUUGGGUCCCGGCGAAGGCCAGCCGUCAAACCCUCUAUUUUCUAUGGUUUGACCUCGGAUCAGGUAGGGUUACCCGCUGAACUUAAGCAUAUCAAUAGUCGGAGGAA
RNAcentral lists this ribosomal RNA (585 nucleotides) under Graphium penicillioides. RNAcentral describes it as "partial 18S ribosomal RNA". The stretch from base 183 to 336 matches the Rfam family "5.8S ribosomal RNA". The record is from RNAcentral. Lineage: Eukaryota; Fungi; Ascomycota; Sordariomycetes; Microascales; Graphiaceae.